RNAcentral lists this ribosomal RNA (539 nucleotides) under uncultured bacterium. RNAcentral's name for it is "bacterial SSU rRNA". It matches the Rfam family "Bacterial small subunit ribosomal RNA", at positions 356 to 896 of the family's 1533-position model. The record is from RNAcentral.
GAGGAAUAUUGGUCAAUGGAUGGAAAUCUGAACCAGCCAAGUAGCGUGCAGGAUGACGGCCCUAUGGGUUGUAAACUGCUUUUAUGUGAGAAUAAAGUUAGGUAUGUAUACUUAUUUGCAUGUAUCACAUGAAUAAGGACCGGCUAAUUCCGUGCCAGCAGCCGCGGUAAUACGGAAGGUCCAGGCGUUAUCCGGAUUUAUUGGGUUUAAAGGGUGCGUAGGCCGUUUGAUAAGCGUGCUGUGAAAUAUAGUGGCUCAACCUCUAUCGUGCAGCGCGAACUGUCGAACUUGAGUGCGUAGUAGGUAGGCGGAAUUCGUGGUGUAGCGGUGAAAUGCUUAGAUAUCACGAAGAACUCCGAUUGCGAAGGCAGCUUACCGUAACGUUACUGACGCUUAAGCACGAAGGUGCGGGUAUCGAACAGGAUUAGAUACCCUGGUAGUCCGCACAGUAAACGAUGGAUGCUCGCUGUUGGCCUUUAUGGUCAGUGGCUUAGCGAAAGCGUUAAGCAUCCCACCUGGGGAGUACGCCGGCAACGGUG